GGGCCCGCACAAGCAGCGGAGCGUGUGGUUUAAUUCGAUGUUACACGAAGAACCUUUACCAGGGUUUGACAUACAGGUGGUAGAGAACUGAAAAGGGAUUCGGACCCUUUCGGGGAGCCUGAACAGGUGCUGCAUGGCUGUCGUCAGCUCGUGUCGUGAGAUGUUCGGUUAAGUCCGCUAACGAGCGCAACCCUCGCUGUGUGUUACAAGUGUCACACGGUACUGCCGGUCUAAAACCGGGAGGAAGGUGGGGAUGACGUCAAGUCAGCAUGGCCUUUAUAUCCUGGGCUACACACACGCUACAAUGGCCGGUACAGUAGGUAGCGAAGCCGCGAGGUGGAGCCAAUCCACAAAGCCGGUCUCAGUUCAGAUUGCAGGCUGCAACCCGCCUGCAUGAAGAUGGAGUUGCUAGUAACCGCAGGUCAGCUAUACUGCGGUGAAUACGUUCCCGGGGCUU
Molecule: ribosomal RNA, 457 nt
Filed under: uncultured Anaerolineaceae bacterium
Lineage: Bacteria; Bacillati; Chloroflexota; Anaerolineae; Anaerolineales; Anaerolineaceae
Description: bacterial SSU rRNA
Rfam family: Bacterial small subunit ribosomal RNA
Source: RNAcentral